Molecule: long non-coding RNA, 369 nt
Filed under: Capra hircus (goat)
Lineage: Eukaryota; Metazoa; Chordata; Mammalia; Artiodactyla; Bovidae
Description: lncRNA (ENSCHIG00000007098.1)
Source: RNAcentral
CAAAGAGUCUGACACGACUGAGCGACUGAACUGAACUGAACUGAACAUAACAUUAUGGAUAUGAAUCAUCUACCUUGGAAAUAGGGAUUGUUAACCAGAUCUGUCAACUGGGCCUAUGCAUACCCAGUCAGCUCCCCACUGCCUUCCCUACGUUUCCCUGGCAGUGAGUAAGAGAACCACCAAGAACCACAAAUCAAUUUAGGACUGAAUUCUCAGUCCUGGCCUCCUGAAAUGGCCUUCUAACCAUAGUCUUGGAUAUACCUACCUUCUGCUCUCCUAUUGAAAUGGCUUUGUAAGUAGUUCUAUAUUCUAUAAACCUAUAAUAUCAUCUUCCUCUAUAAGAAAUAGAUCUUAGAAACAUCCACAUCU